Molecule: ribosomal RNA, 253 nt
Filed under: uncultured bacterium
Lineage: Bacteria
Description: partial 16S ribosomal RNA
Rfam family: Bacterial small subunit ribosomal RNA
Source: RNAcentral
GACAGAGGAUGCAAGCGUUAUUCGGAAUUACUGGGCUUAAAGAGUCCGUAGGCGGCGCGGAAAGUAGGGUGUGAAAGCCCUCGGCUUAACCGAGGAAUUGCGCUCUAAACUACCGUGCUUGAGGAACCUAGAGGUGAGCGGAACUGAUGGUGGAGCGGUGAAAUGCGUUGAUAUCAUCAGGAACACCGGAGGCGAAGGCGGCUUCCUGGCCUGUUCUUGACGCUGAGGCGCGAAAGCUAGGGGAGCAAACGGG